UACGUAGGGUGCAAGCGUUAAUCGGAAUUACUGGGCGUAAAGCGUGCGCAGGCGGUUGUACAAGACAGAUGUGAAAUCCCCGGGCUUAACCUGGGAACUGCAUUUGUGACUGCACGGCUAGAGUGUGUCAGAGGGGGGUAGAAUUCCACGUGUAGCAGUGAAAUGCGUAGAUAUGUGGAGGAAUACCGAUGGCGAAGGCAGCCCCCUGGGAUAACACUGACGCUCAUGCACGAAAGCGUGGGGAGCAAACAGG
Molecule: ribosomal RNA, 253 nt
Filed under: uncultured bacterium
Lineage: Bacteria
Description: partial 16S ribosomal RNA
Rfam family: Bacterial small subunit ribosomal RNA
Source: RNAcentral